UCAGCAAACCUUCGGAAGACUCCACGGACAUAAAAAAAGCCGCCUUCAUUUGCUGCCUGUCAAGAAAAGGGAGGGAAGGGCAGUUGAAUCCAAGGAGGUGGGUUACUCUAUAAAGGCUGUCACUGUGGCAUUAAGGAGAUUCUCUAAGGAAAGCAACAUGAGGAAAGUCAUCUGAGAAAUUUCACUUGUCCAAUGGGGAACAAAUAUAAGUUUCAAUGAAAUAUCUCCAAAAGAAAAAUGCCAUAAUCAUGCACUUUGUAAAAUCAUGUAAUAAAUAUAGAUGUACGAAUAAAUUUGUAAAAUCAGAAUAAAUAGAUUUUGGAUAACAGUAUUUUUGCUCCUUUAAAAAAAAAAAAAAAAGAUUCAACUGAUUGCAAAAAGAACAAAUUAACUGUUUGGCCACUCAUCUCAUUUACUCUGGACUGACAGAGCAAAAGAAUCUCAAACAGACAAUGCUCUUGAGACAUCAGGAAGUUCUGCAUUUAAUCAGGUGGGUGAAGUUGUUAAGGUGCCAGCCUAGAAACCAGGAGACUGUGAGUUCUAGUCUUAGCCUGGGUGAUUUUGGGCCAAUCACACCAGGAGGUGGCCAGUUUGAGUCCCAUCUUAGCCACGAAAGCUGCUGGCUGGGCGACUUUGGGCCAGUUCCUCACUCUCUCUCAGCCUAACCCACACCUCACAAGGUGGAAGGAGGAGGAUUAUAUAUGUUCACGUUGAAUUACUUAUGGACUAGUAAAGGGAUAAAACUCUAACAAAUAAACAAAUACAUAAUAAAGACCACGUGCUCUAUCUCUGUUACAACCUUGCUUCUGAAUAGCACUUUGUUGUUCAUUUUCGAUGACAAAUUUCACACAUACAGAAAGAUGUGACUUUUUUUUAAUACUCUAGCUUAAUAAAGUUUCAGCAGACACAAAGAUU
This is a long non-coding RNA of Thamnophis elegans (Western terrestrial garter snake), 915 nucleotides long. RefSeq lists it as uncharacterized. The transcript has 2 exons. The record is from RefSeq and is a predicted model, not a curated record. NCBI's taxonomy places the organism in Eukaryota, Metazoa, Chordata, Lepidosauria, Squamata, Natricidae.